RNAcentral lists this ribosomal RNA (230 nucleotides) under uncultured bacterium. RNAcentral's name for it is "partial 16S ribosomal RNA". It matches the Rfam family "Bacterial small subunit ribosomal RNA", at positions 524 to 752 of the family's 1533-position model. The record is from RNAcentral.
UACGUAGGGUGCAAGCGUUAAUCGGAAUUACUGGGCGUAAAGCGUGCGCAGGCGGUUUUGUAAGUUUGUCGUGAAAUCCCCGGGCUCAACCUGGGAAUGGCGAUGAAGACUGCAAGGCUAGAAUCUGGCAGAGGGGGGUAGAAUUCCACGUGUGAGCAGUGAAAUGCGUAGAGAUGUGGAGGAACACCGAUGGCGAAGGCAGCCCCCUGGGUCAAGAUUGACGCUCAUGC